RNAcentral lists this ribosomal RNA (68 nucleotides) under Lyonia ovalifolia. Its description in RNAcentral is "partial 5.8S ribosomal RNA". The record is from RNAcentral. Lineage: Eukaryota; Viridiplantae; Streptophyta; Magnoliopsida; Ericales; Ericaceae.
UCGAGUCUUUGAACGCAAGUUGCGCCUGAAGCCAUUAGGUUGAAGGCACGUCUGCCUGGGCGUCACGC